UUCCAUCUCCAAAGCAAUGGCGAAGAACAUGAACAAGAAGAAAGAUAAAUGAUUCCGCUUUAAUGGACAUCAUUGAAGAGCCCGUUUCAGAUUUGCCUCAAGCAAUGGACACCUCAGAGUCGGGGGCUCACAACCCAAGUGGUGGUGCUUCCAGUUUGUAAGUAUCAUCAUCAAGUAUUACUAAGCAGUCAUUUUUUAUAUAAGAUUAUUAGGUUUUUCUGUUAGUGGAGUGAUUAUCAAGACCACAAAUUUAAAAUCUUAAACCUUAAAGACGCAUUUCUACAUGAUUUUCUUCGAUAGAUUGAUUUGUGGUCUUGAUUUGUGUUAAUUGGGUAUUAUAGCUAUUGCUAAAAGAUUAUGGGUGAGGUUUCAUUCUGGGUUCAAUUCAAAUAAACAAGUGCAUAUGUGGUAUAACAGGGUCUUUAAUUUUUGUGGAUGUUUACUUGUCCUCUUAUGUGAAAAUAUAGGUUGUUUACUGUAUAAGAUGGUGCAAAGUUUCAAAUCUAACCGAAAUCAAUUCCAUUCAUAAUUAAGCUUGGAAUGUAUAUUUUUUUAUUCACUAGGUUGAUGUGUUAGAUGGAUUGGUAUUAUUGCAUGACAUGACAAACCAUGCAAAUCCUCACUUUGACUGUCAUCAUAUGAUGGUUUUCUAGUACAGAGUUCUUCGACAGAGCAGUGCCGCUGCUACUCUCACUAUGAAGUAGUUUUUGCCUGUGAUCUAGCCUGGUUACUUCUUCGUCAUGUUUUGUGGCUCAGAAGGAAUUGUUUUAACAUCACUCUGUUUUUGGGUGUCAUUCGAGCAUGGUUCGAAUGGGUAAUGAGGAGACUUGUUUUUGUAGCUUGUUGAUACUGCUCUGUGACAGAUCAUGUCAUGGGUGCAUGAAUAGGGAUAGAAUUCAAGGCAUGGAAGGGAAGAAAUUUGAGGAAGGGGAGGGUUAAGGAUUAAUGUAUUUCUUUUUCUUAAGGACUAAGGUGGCUAACGAUGAAUGAAGAAAUUCUACCUCAGCCCAUUAACCUAUAUGUUGUUUGUUAAAUUUACCCAUUAAAUGCUUCUGUGAUUGAAGAAAUAGAUUUGCCUAUCCUGGUUUCAUUUCAUUUCCAGCUCCUUUGUUUAUUGCAUAUGUAUCAUGUAAUUAAUUAUUCUUUUAGCUGCAAAGUUCAAUUUGAUUAGACAUCCACUUGUUGCGACAUCUACUUCUUAUGCAUUAUUUCUCAGUGAAGUCUGAUACAAUACAAUUGAAGUAUUUAAGAUAACUAGUGGGAAGAUGAUAUCUCUACUUUCUGAGUUCAUGGAUACUUGUGAAAAUAAAGAUAUUAGGGUUGAAGAAUAUUUAGAUUUCAUUGUUAAGAAGCGAUCAGUUGCAAGCAAGGAAGCACUUGGAAUACGAAUUCACAGCCUGGGGUAUGUCACAUUUUUGCUUCUACUUUUUGGUAAAAAAUAAAAGUCUAUUUUGUAGAUAGCUCAAUACUGAACUUAGAACUAUAUUGGGAAAGGAGACCUCUUUUUAUAGUACUUGCUGUGCAUAAAUUUGAUGUCAUAUUUACUUAUUUAUAAAGUUUUUCAUGCAGUCAAAGUCGUUCUAAUGUCCACAGAGCAUGUGGAAGUCAAAAUUUCAUCUAUUAUGGAUGUUGAGUUACAAGGAUCAUGCCUGUGCUCGUGUUGAGUUACAGGGAUCUUUAAUGCAUGCUUUUGCUGAUGUACUUGCUUCUUUGAAAAAUAUUUGAUGAUGCAGAAGCUAUUACAUGCACAGUUUUGGGUCUUGUUGAUCAUUUCUCGGUCCUAAUUUUAAGUGCUCCGUGUUCACAUCGUUCUUGUUGAAUGCCCCCCGCCCCCGCCUCUUAAGUUUUCAAUUAAGCUCAGUCCAACAUGAAUUUACUUGGUGAUAAAUUAACAUUGAUACACCCACACACGCAGGGGUGAAAUCAAGCCACACCAUACCACCUGGUUGAUUAAGGUUUGGGAUGACAUAUCAUGUGUUCAAGUCAUCUCAUUGUCCUUUGUCAGUUAUAUAAUGUAUAUUUUAACGACAUUGAUUGGAGUAAACUUUAUGAUAACAGGAUGCAUAUUUCUGCCAUCUGGGAAGCCAGGAAUCUAGAAAUUUCCAAUGUAAAGAAAUCAGAGAAGGCAUUUCAGCCAAAUCCAAUAAAAAGGAUAGGAAGUUUCCACUUUUAUCCGCAGAGAAAAAGGAGCUAGACAAACGUUUCAGCACUAUUUCUCAGCGCGUUGAAUCGUUUUCCCCUGUACAUAAGGAUUUUUGUGGCAAGCACAUUAGAUUUGAUCCUUCAAGCUCAGAGGAUGAAGGUAGGGAUGAUUAUUUAUCUGAGGAGAAUGAUGAAAAAUAAUGACCAUUUAACAGGCAGUCAGGUUAACUUCUCCUUAGAGUAUGUUAAAAGUUCUGACCGAGUGAGUAGUUGCUAAAUUUUCUUGUAUAGUUGCACCAUGUUGUUUCAUUAUUUAUUCCUUUUGUGGUUUUAACUUAGCCUUAGUAUGAGUGCUAUAAAUUAUUCAGUAUGAUAUGAAGUUGUAGCCAAGGUGGGACUGACAUGAUGUCGUUCUGGUACUAUGGUGAUAAUGGCUGAAGAGGUUCAUAAUUUUAUA
Molecule: non-coding RNA, 2599 nt
Organism: Prunus mume (Japanese apricot)
Lineage: Eukaryota; Viridiplantae; Streptophyta; Magnoliopsida; Rosales; Rosaceae
Source: RefSeq, a predicted model, not a curated record